UAAGGAAAAAAAAAAAAGCAGUAGCACAGAGCGCACUGUAUUAUAAAGUAUGAAGUAUAAAGUAUAAAGUAGGAAGAGGUGUUAGGCACGUGCCAGAUGAACCGCAAAUUUGCUUACCUUCAGUAUAUGUAGAAUGUUCAUCAUCAUCAUCAACAUCAACAUCAUUAUCAUCAGCAUCAACAUCAAGUUAAUAUGUAUCUAAUUUCAGGCCCACAUUAACCUAGAACCCGGUUGCUUCACUAACAGCGGUACCAUAUAAGCAAAAGCAACAAACUUUAAAACGUAAAGAUGCGUCUGUCCUAAAUGGACUGCAAAAAAAUACUAUUUCAAAUGUCAGUGACAUUUGCAGACUCGUAUCAAGAGAGACGACGGGUAUAAAACAGUUUAAAAAUAUAAAAAAGCUGUAAACCCGACAUAACAUCCGACAACGAGGUAAGAUCCAUCUGGUGGAUGCUUUUGAAAGAUCAUCUUCGGGACGUUAAUGGCCGGAAUGAGAAAACACGGACGUAUAAAACGACAUCGCUGCCAACAGGGUAUCAUAAUCGCACCUUCUUCAUAUCUCGGACACAUAUCCGAAGACUGCAUGGUGUACUCGAGACAAGAUGAUCGGCGAGAUCGCGUUUUAUAGAGCGUGGGCGACCCGACAACUCUCAUUCUUGCUCUCUGGUUCUGGUAGAGUGUAUGGUAGGCUACAACCUACAACUGACACUUGGUCGUUUUUGCUAUCUUCCCAUCUUGCUUCUUAUCUUCGAGAGCAUACACGUAGAUUUUUCCCCUACUGAGAUUCUUUUACCCCGAUAAAUACCUGGACUAUACAUAUUAUAUUAAUACAAUACACAUGGGGCUUCAGUUGCAACCUGUAUACCUGGUUAGCCGGGCUCGACAGCCGGACAAAUUCACAGGAGACACGCUUCGAUGAAGAUCAUGCACGAAAGUGUCUAUAUUUAUUUUUUUUAAUAAAAUCUAGCAUGUAUUUCCCAGACUGGAUGGCUUUCUUCUGAUGAAUAUUAAUAAAAUAAAAUUCAAAUAGAAUUGAAACCCAGCCAUUGUCUUUAUACCCGGGGAUUGAAAUGUCUAAGCGACAUUUGGUAUUUGUAAUAAAAAAAGAAAAACUAUUUAUCUAUUGGCUAUUGGCUAUUAUUUAAAGUAUUUAGAGUCAACUGGGAAUUUUAAAAAGAACUUAGUUAACAAUGAUAUUAAAAAUCAUCAUUGUUUUAAGAGAACAUAUAUAUUGAAUAGUAUUUCUCUUACGAAAGCAGUUAAGACCAUGACGAUAUGGUUAUUGGAGCGUUAGCACAGCUGAAUUCAAUGAGGAAACG
Long non-coding RNA from Cotesia glomerata, 1319 nucleotides. RefSeq lists it as uncharacterized. The transcript has 3 exons. The record is from RefSeq and is a predicted model, not a curated record. Lineage: Eukaryota; Metazoa; Arthropoda; Insecta; Hymenoptera; Braconidae.